Molecule: ribosomal RNA, 315 nt
Filed under: uncultured Succinivibrionaceae bacterium
Lineage: Bacteria; Pseudomonadati; Pseudomonadota; Gammaproteobacteria; Aeromonadales; Succinivibrionaceae
Description: bacterial SSU rRNA
Rfam family: Bacterial small subunit ribosomal RNA
Source: RNAcentral
AUUGAACGCUGGCGGCAGGCUUAACACAUGCAAGUCGUACGGUAACAGAGGGAAGCUUGCUUCUCUGCUGACGAGUGGCGGACGGGUGAGUAAUGUCUGGGAAGCUGCCUGCUUGAGGGGGAUAGCGGAGCGAAAGUUCCGAUAAUACCGCGUAAGCCCGAGAGGGGAAAGUGCGGGACCGCAAGGCCGCACGCGAGCAGAUGCGCCCAGAUGGGAUUAGGCAGUUGGGGAGGUAAUGGCUCACCAAACCGAUGAUCUCUAGCUGGUUUGAGAGGACAAUCAGCCACAUUGGAAUUGAGAAACGGACCAAACUCC